GAUGAACGCUGGCGGCGUGCCUAAUACAUGCAAGUCGAGCGAACAGACGAGGAGCUUGCUCCUCUGACGUUAGCGGCGGACGGGUGAGUAACACGUGGAUAACCUACCUAUAAGACUGGGAUAACUUCGGGAAACCGGAGCUAAUACCGGAUAAUAUAUUGAACCGCAUGGUUCAAUAGUGAAAGACGGUUUUGCUGUCACUUAUAGAUGGAUCCGCGCCGCAUUAGCUAGUUGGUAUGGUAACGGCUUACCAAGGCAACGAUGCGUAGCCGACCUGAGAGGUUGAUCGGCCACACUGGAACUGAGACACGGUCCAGACUCCUACGGGAGGCAGCAGUAGGGAAUCUUCCGCAAUGGGCGAAAGCCUGACGGAGCAACGCCGCGUGAGUGAUGAAGGUCUUCGGAUCGUAAAACUCUGUUAUUAGGGAAGAACAAAUGUGUAAGUAACUAUGCACGUCUUGACGGUACCUAAUCAGAAAGCCACGGCUAACUACGUG
This 497-nucleotide ribosomal RNA is filed under the name uncultured bacterium. Its description in RNAcentral is "partial 16S ribosomal RNA". It matches the Rfam family "Bacterial small subunit ribosomal RNA", at positions 28 to 507 of the family's 1533-position model. The record is from RNAcentral.